AACAGCCGCGAGGGGGUCUAACGGAGCGUCAGACCCGCGCGUGCCCAGUAGACUGCCGGGCUGGGCUGUCCUUUGCUUGCUAGAGCGUUUGCGCGGCAAGGGAGCCGUUGGGGUCGGAGGCAGGUUCUGAGGUUCAGCUGCUCUGCUCCAUAUAGAUCCAUCGGGGACAGUGAGAGACCUUGGACCGCCGAAGGGCUCUGAGCAUGACCGCAAAGCGGUGUGGCCUGGGCCGGUGGCUUCAAGUGCUGUCAAGCUCCUUUGAUUAGGGCCUCUGGCAGCAGCAGUCGCGGGUGGCGCCUGUUCUAACCUCAGACCCUAGGGUGGUCAUCCCAGUCGUGCACCCUGUGGAAGGUCUGCAUCCUCGGGAGAUCCUGGCUGGUUACCAUGGUAUCAUGUACCCUGUGGAAGGUCUGCAUCCUCGGGAGAUCCUGGCUGGUUACCAUGGUAUCAUGUACCCUGUGGAAGGUCUGCAUCCUCAGGAGAUCCUGGCUUGGUUAUCAUGGCACCCUGUGAGACUAUGCUACCACCUCAUGAAUAGACAUAAACCUCAUGCACAAUGACCAACCCAAGGUCCUUCACUGCUGCCGUUUCUCAAGUUUGCCAGCUCCUGCCAUCUUUGAAGUAUACUAUUUAACUAUUGGCUAAAUACAUCUGACUUGCUAUGGU
This is a long non-coding RNA of Arvicola amphibius (Eurasian water vole), 666 nucleotides long. RefSeq lists it as uncharacterized. The transcript has 2 exons. NCBI's taxonomy places the organism in Eukaryota, Metazoa, Chordata, Mammalia, Rodentia, Cricetidae. The record is from RefSeq and is a predicted model, not a curated record.